Molecule: RNA transcript, 952 nt
Organism: Nycticebus coucang (slow loris)
Lineage: Eukaryota; Metazoa; Chordata; Mammalia; Primates; Lorisidae
Gene name: endoplasmic reticulum resident protein 29-like
Exons: 1
Source: RefSeq, a predicted model, not a curated record
UUUUUUUUAACCUCUCGCUCCCGGAAUCCGGCGUUAUGGCUUCUGUCUCUCCGGUGGUUUUCCUUUUGGGCCUUCUGAUCCUCUGUACUCCGCAUGGCGGAAGCGGCCUGCACACCAAGGGGGCCCUUCCCCUGGAUACAAUCACUUUUUACAAGAUUAUGGUGACAAGUUGAACAUGGAGCUGAGUGUGAAAUACAAGCUGGACAAAGAGAGCUAUCCAGUCUUCUACCUCUUCAGGGAUGGAGACUUUGAGAACCCAGUCCCAUACAGUGGGGCAGUGAAGGUUGGUGCCAUCCAGCGAUGGCUAAAGGGACAAGGGGUCUACCUAGGUAUGCCUGGUUGCCUGCCUGCUUAUGAUGCUCUGGCUGGGGAGUUCAUUAGGGCCUCUAAUGUGGAGGCCCGCCAGGCCCUCUUGAAGCAGGGGCGUGACAACCUCUCCAGUGUGAAGGAGACGGAGAAGAAGUGGGCUGAGCAAUACCUGAAAAUCAUGGGGAAGAUCUUAGACCAAGGGGAGGACUUCCCAGCAUCAGAAAUGACCCGGAUCGCUAAACUUAUAGAGAAGAACAAGAUGAGUGAUGGGAAGAAGGAGGAGCUCCAGAAGAGCUUAAACAUCCUGACUGCCUUCCAGAAGAAAGGGGCUGAGAAGGAGGAGCUAUAAAAAGGCCCAAUAGGGUUUUCCAGUGUUUAAUGGGGGAGGGGAGGGGCGACUUACCUGCUGGCUGAAGAUCCUUGUUGGAACAUAAUAGAGUGGAGGAAAAAAAUGGUACUGCACUGGAAUUCUGAGCCCUGAGUAUGCUUGGACAUUGAUGCUGAUGUAACCAUGCUUGGGACAUCUAGAUAACCAGUCUGAGGUGAGGUGGAAUGCUUAACACAGAUGGCAAGUGCCCCUAGGUGCUUACAGUCCUUGACAGGUGUAAUUCUAAUCCAAUUAAAGUUUCAGUGUUUUGCGUAA